Molecule: non-coding RNA, 1069 nt
Organism: Arvicanthis niloticus (Nile rat)
Lineage: Eukaryota; Metazoa; Chordata; Mammalia; Rodentia; Muridae
Source: RefSeq, a predicted model, not a curated record
AUGGAUGAUCAGGAUCCUGGGGCAUUAGACUACUUCAGCAAAAGUGGCUUCAGGAGCUGGGGUUGUGGUGAAAGUCCGCCUUCAGUCUCAGAGACCGUUAGUAGCCAGAAAAUUGACACCUCCUUCCAGAUUCUGGAGUCUAUCCUACACCAAAUCACACUCCACUCCACAAUCCCGAGGGAAGUGUCUCCUAUACUACAAAGGUGUCCUGGAGCCCUGUACCUGUGCCCAAAUGAAACUUGCUGUGCCACUUGGUUUCUGGAUCCUACACUAUUCACUGGCACCUUGGAAGCAUUUGUGAAGAUUGUGAGGCAUGAGGGCACUAGGGCCCUGUGGAGUAGCCUCCCUGCCACCCUAGUGAUGACUAUGCCAGCUACCUCCAUUCACUUCACUGCUUAUGACCAACUCAAGGCCUUUCUAUGUGAUCAUUCCUUGACCUCUGACCUCUACACAUCCAUGGUGGCUGGUGACCUCACCCGCAUGAGCACUGUGUGACAGUUGCCAGCUCCUUGGAGCUUGUGCAGACCAAGCUGCAGGUGCAGCAUAAGUCUUAAGAUGAACCAACUACAUGUGUUCAAGCUGCAGUGACACUGGUCUACUGGCGCUCAAUAAAACUAGGCUGGGGUCCCACAGCUCUUGUACCCUUCUCAGAUGUGUACGGUUCAACUUUGAGUUGGUGAAGAGUUGGCAAGAUGGGCUAAGACCAAAAGAACAGACAUCUGUGGGGCUCAGCUUUGUGGCUGGUGGGAUUUCAGGAAUGGUGCCUGACACCCUUACCCUACCCUUUGAUGUGGCAGAGACAUAGCUUCAAAUGUCACUGGCAGCAGUGGAGGCUGUGAGAGUGGAACCACCAAGAGUUGACUGUACCUGGCUCCUGCUUCAGAGAAUCUAGGUCAUAUCUGGCAUCAGGGGACUCAUUGUAGGUUUCCUCUCAAAUAUCAUCAAGGUUCUGCCCUCCUGUGCCAUCAUGAUUAAUACUUACAUGAUUUGUCAAAAAUUCCUUCAGAGGAUCAACCAGGAGCAGCCCCUGGGCUAUUCAAAGUUGAGGAGCAACCAGCUCUUACACUGA